UACGGAGGGGGCUAGCGUUGUUCGGAAUUACUGGGCGUAAAGCGCACGUAGGCGGCUUUGUAAGUUAGAGGUGAAAGCCCGGAGCUCAACUCCGGAAUUGCCUUUAAGACUGCAUCGCUUGAAUCAUGGAGAGGUGAGUGGAAUUCCGAGUGUAGAGGUGAAAUGCGUAGAUAUCGGGAGGAACACCUGAGGCGAAGGCGGGCUACUGGGCCGAUACUGACGCUGAGGCGCGAAAGCCAGGGGAGCAAACGGG
RNAcentral lists this ribosomal RNA (253 nucleotides) under uncultured bacterium. Its description in RNAcentral is "partial 16S ribosomal RNA". It matches the Rfam family "Bacterial small subunit ribosomal RNA", at positions 524 to 776 of the family's 1533-position model. The record is from RNAcentral.